AUGUUUUCUAGCACAAAAGUUGAUUUAUCUUGCUGCUGGCCGGUCUUACACUUUUUUGGGGAUAUAAUGAGACGACCAAGAUCAAAAAUUAUCAUGGUGUUCCUAAUUUAUCCCACUGUUAUUUAUUUGUGGCUCCUAAUUUUUGUGUUUCUGAAGAAAGAAGUGCAUUCUUGCUUCAUGUACAAAUUGUUUCGUGCAGAUCAUGUGUGCUCAAUGUACGAAAAGAAAACUGGGAUGAAAUUGAUAGGCGAGUUCUUACCAGAAUACACAUAUUUUGAUCCUUUUCUCACAUUUGAUGUGAGGUUCAGACUAAGGUAG
Molecule: ribosomal RNA, 318 nt
Filed under: Triticum aestivum (bread wheat)
Lineage: Eukaryota; Viridiplantae; Streptophyta; Magnoliopsida; Poales; Poaceae
Description: partial small subunit ribosomal RNA
Source: RNAcentral